Molecule: ribosomal RNA, 899 nt
Filed under: Cladosporium gamsianum
Lineage: Eukaryota; Fungi; Ascomycota; Dothideomycetes; Cladosporiales; Cladosporiaceae
Description: LSU rRNA
Rfam family: Eukaryotic large subunit ribosomal RNA
Source: RNAcentral
CUAGCAUAUCAAUAAGCGGAGGAAAAGAAACCAACAGGGAUUGCUCUAGUAACGGCGAGUGAAGCAGCAAUAGCUCAAAUUUGAAAUCUGGCGUCUUCGACGUCCGAGUUGUAAUUUGUAGAGGAUGCUUCUGAGUAACCACCGACCUAAGUUCCUUGGAACAGGACGUCAUAGAGGGUGAGAAUCCCGUAUGCGGUCGGAAAGGUGCUCUAUACGUAGCUCCUUCGACGAGUCGAGUUGUUUGGGAAUGCAGCUCUAAAUGGGAGGUAAAUUUCUUCUAAAGCUAAAUAUUGGCCAGAGACCGAUAGCGCACAAGUAGAGUGAUCGAAAGAUGAAAAGCACUUUGGAAAGAGAGUUAAAAAGCACGUGAAAUUGUUAAAAGGGAAGGGAUUGCAACCAGACUUGCUCGCGGUGUUCCGCCGGUCUUCUGACCGGUCUACUCGCCGCGUUGCAGGCCAGCAUCGUCUGGUGCCGCUGGAUAAGACUUGAGGAAUGUAGCUCCCUCGGGAGUGUUAUAGCCUCUUGUGAUGCAGCGAGCGCCGGGCGAGGUCCGCGCUUCGGCUAGGAUGCUGGCGUAAUGGUCGUAAUCCGCCCGUCUUGAAACACGGACCAAGGAGUCUAACAUCUAUGCGAGUGUUCGGGUGUCAAACCCCUACGCGUAAUGAAAGUGAACGGAGGUGAGAACCGCAAGGUGCAUCAUCGACCGAUCCUGAUGUCUUCGGAUGGAUUUGAGUAAGAGCAUAGCUGUUGGGACCCGAAAGAUGGUGAACUAUGCCUGAAUAGGGUGAAGCCAGAGGAAACUCUGGUGGAGGCUCGCAGCGGUUCUGACGUGCAAAUCGAUCGUCAAAUUUGGGUAUAGGGGCGAAAGACUAAUCGAACCAUCUAGUAGCUGGUUCUGC